Molecule: ribosomal RNA, 468 nt
Filed under: uncultured bacterium
Lineage: Bacteria
Description: partial 16S ribosomal RNA
Rfam family: Bacterial small subunit ribosomal RNA
Source: RNAcentral
GACGAACGCUGGCGGCGUGCUUAACACAUGCAAGUCGAACGGAAAGGCCCUGCUUUUGUGGGGUGCUCGAGUGGCGAACGGGUGAGUAACACGUGAGUAACCUGCCCUUGACUUUGGGAUAACUUCAGGAAACUGGGGCUAAUACCGGAUAGGAGCUCCUGCUGCAUGGUGGGGGUUGGAAAUUUUCGGCGGUUGGGGAUGGACUCGCGGCUUAUCAGCUUGUUGGUGGGGUAGUGGCUUACCAAGGCUUUGACGGGUAGCCGGCCUGAGAGGGUGACCGGCCACAUUGGGCCUGAGAUACGGCCCAGACUCCUACGGGAGGCAGCAGUGGGGAAUAUUGCACAAUGGGCGGAAGCCUGAUGCAGCAACGCCGCGUGCGGGAUGACGGCCUUCGGGUUGUAAACCGCUUUCGCCUGUGACGAAGCGUGAGUGACGGUAAUGGGUAAAGAAGCACCGGCUAACUACGUG